AUUGAACGCUGGCGGCAGGCCUAACACAUGCAAGUCGAGCGGAUGAAGGGAGCUUGCUCCUGGAUUCAGCGGCGGACGGGUGAGUAAUGCCUAGGAAUCUGCCUGGUAGUGGGGGAUAACGUCCGGAAACGGGCGCUAAUACCGCAUACGUCCUGAGGGAGAAAGUGGGGGAUCUUCGGACCUCACGCUAUCAGAUGAGCCUAGGUCGGAUUAGCUAGUUGGUGGGGUAAAGGCCUACCAAGGCGACGAUCCGUAACUGGUCUGAGAGGAUGAUCAGUCACACUGGAACUGAGACACGGUCCAGACUCCUACGGGAGGCAGCAGUGGGGAAUAUUGGACAAUGGGCGAAAGCCUGAUCCAGCCACGCCGCGUGUGUGAAGAAGGUCUUCGGAUUGUAAAGCACUUUAAGUUGGGAGGAAGGGCAGUAAGUUAAUACCUUGCUGUUUUGACGUUACCAACAGAAUAGGCACCGGCUAACUUCGUG
This 484-nucleotide ribosomal RNA is filed under the name uncultured bacterium. RNAcentral describes it as "partial 16S ribosomal RNA". It matches the Rfam family "Bacterial small subunit ribosomal RNA", at positions 30 to 507 of the family's 1533-position model. The record is from RNAcentral.